This 63-nucleotide transfer RNA is filed under the name Rattus norvegicus (Norway rat). It matches the Rfam family "tRNA", at positions 1 to 62 of the family's 71-position model. Rfam says of the family: Transfer RNA (tRNA) molecules are approximately 80 nucleotides in length. Their secondary structure includes four short double-helical elements and three loops (D, anti-codon, and T loops). Lineage: Eukaryota; Metazoa; Chordata; Mammalia; Rodentia; Muridae. The record is from Rfam by way of RNAcentral.
GGGGAUUUAGCUCAGUGAUAGAGCGCUUGCCUAGCAAGCACAAGGCCCUGGGUUCAGUCCCCA